This 27-nucleotide non-coding RNA is filed under the name Rattus norvegicus (Norway rat). The record is from RNAcentral. Lineage: Eukaryota; Metazoa; Chordata; Mammalia; Rodentia; Muridae.
GGAACAUUGUCUCUACAUGGGCCAUCU